RNAcentral lists this ribosomal RNA (244 nucleotides) under uncultured Streptococcus sp. RNAcentral describes it as "partial 16S ribosomal RNA". It matches the Rfam family "Bacterial small subunit ribosomal RNA", at positions 1139 to 1382 of the family's 1533-position model. Lineage: Bacteria; Bacillati; Bacillota; Bacilli; Lactobacillales; Streptococcaceae. The record is from RNAcentral.
CCUAGCGAGACUGCCGGUAAUAAACCGGAGGAAGGUGGGGAUGACGUCAAAUCAUCAUGCCCCUUAUGACCUGGGCUACACACGUGCUACAAUGGUUGGUACAACGAGUUGCGAGUCGGUGACGGCGAGCUAAUCUCUUAAAGCCAAUCUCAGUUCGGAUUGUAGGCUGCAACUCGCCUACAUGAAGUCGGAAUCGCUAGUAAUCGCGGAUCAGCACGCCGCGGUGAAUACGUUCCCGGGCCUU